Zingiber officinale is the source of this 226-nucleotide long non-coding RNA. RefSeq lists it as uncharacterized. The record is from RefSeq and is a predicted model, not a curated record. NCBI's taxonomy places the organism in Eukaryota, Viridiplantae, Streptophyta, Magnoliopsida, Zingiberales, Zingiberaceae. The transcript is spliced from 3 exons.
GAUCUUGGACCUUAUCUUCCUUGCUGCUGAUUAAGGUCACGAUUAAGUGAGGUGAAGUUCUGGAUUGUGAAGUAAACCCAGCAGAGAGGAUCAGUAGGCUGUGAGCUGUCCUGUUUCUGUGGAUUUAGAAUUGGGUGCUGUGGUGUUCUUGAUCCAACAUCAACAGGGGCUGUGAGCUUGAGGACUCUGAUUCGAGACGGGCGUCUCGACUUCGGAUUUGGAUUAU